AUAACGAUAACAACAGAACUUUCCAAAUUAUUCAAUCAUUUUGCAUUUGUAAUGCUGUAUUAUUUUCAGGUUAUUAAAUUGUCAAAAGAUGCAUAUACCGGAUAUUUUGGAGCAUGGUAAAUGUUCAGAAUUACUGUUAUUCUUAUUUGUAAAUGCUAUAAACAUAACUAUCAUAUUGUUUUAAUGUUGUACACAAUGUUUAUAAGUUAAUCUCAUGUAUAAACUUAAUUGUUUUGUCUCUUUUAACUGUACAGUACAUUGUUUUACUGUUAAAUUUUUAUGUGGCCCUAUAAAGGUGACCGUUUGGCGACAAAGUAUUCAUUACCCCUAUCCUGUAAAUAUUAUUUUUUAAAUUUCCUUUUAGAUAUUGUCAUAACGCCACCCUGGGAGGUCAUCGCUUCUCAAUAGCCCUAUAUCCUUUAAGGUACUUUACAGACAAGUUCUUAGGUUGCAAGAGUUCAACAUUUGCUGUCACACUCAAAUAUAUUCCAAAAUAAAAUAAAAAUGCAAUUAUACAUCAUAUUUUCAUAUAAAUGUGCAAUCCUUUAAAAACAUAGAGCUAAUUAAGUAAGAUCCAGCUUCUCAACCAAUUAAUGUCCAACAAGUUGUAUAUUUUCCCAUUGUUUAAUAUUAAUAAUAAUAACAUUUUAUUACUAUAGUGCAAGACAUGUGUUUCUUUCAAUUGUUCAUUUCCAUAUUCUUUAUAUAACACUCAUUCCUUUAAAAGUGCAAUAAUGUUUACAUCCUAAAUGAAAAGGCGUGUGAACUAGGUCAUGGUUCAAUUUCGACCAAUCAGCGCCAACUUUUAUGGUCAAUGCCGUUUUAGCAAGUGGGGUAAAACCAGUACUUACCGAAACCGCCCUUAUAGUAUUCAAUGCAUUCUUAUGUAUAUAACGCUUUUUUAACAUUUUAGUUAAAUGUAAAUGCGAUGUUAGGUAAGCACAGAUUUUUAUGCCCCCCCUUCGAAGAAGAGGGGGUAUAUUGUUUUGCGCAUGUCGGUAGGUCGGUCGUCUGUCCGUCCGUCCACCAGAUGGUUUCCAGAUGAUAACUCAAGAACGCUUACGCGUAGGAUCAUGAAACUUUGUAGGUACAUUGAUUAUGACUCACUGAUGACCCCUAUUUAUUUUCAGGUCACUAGGUCAAGGUCACGGUGACUCGAACCAGUAAAAUGGUUUCGGGAUGAUAACUCAAGAAAGUGUACGCCUAUGAUCAUGAAACUUAAUAUGUACAUUGAUCAUGAUUUGUAGAUGACCCCUUUUGAUUUCCAGGUCACUAGGUCAAAGGUCAAUGUCACGGUGACUUGACACAGUAAAAUGGUUUCUGAAUGAUAACUCAAGAAAGCUAACGUUUAGGAUCAUGAAACUUCAUAGGUACAUUGAUCAUGACUUGCAGAUGACCCCUAUUGAUUUUCAAGUCACUAGGUCAAAGGUCAAGUUCACAGUGACAAAACAAAAA
Molecule: long non-coding RNA, 1455 nt
Organism: Dreissena polymorpha
Lineage: Eukaryota; Metazoa; Mollusca; Bivalvia; Myida; Dreissenidae
Exons: 2
Source: RefSeq, a predicted model, not a curated record